RNAcentral lists this ribosomal RNA (1400 nucleotides) under uncultured bacterium. RNAcentral's name for it is "partial 16S ribosomal RNA". It matches the Rfam family "Bacterial small subunit ribosomal RNA". The record is from RNAcentral.
AGAGUUUGAUCCUGGCUCAGAUUGAACGCUUUUGGCAGGCCUAACACAUGCAAGUCGAACGGUAACAGGAAGAAGCUUGCUUCUUUGCUGACGAGUGGCGGACGGGUGAGUAAUGUCUGGGAAACUGCCUGAUGGAGGGGGAUAACUACUGGAAACGGUAGCUAAUACCGCAUAACGUCGCAAGACCAAAGAGGGGGACCUUCGGGCCUCUUGCCAUCGGAUGUGCCCAGAUGGGAUUAGCUUGUUGGUGGGGUAACGGCUCACCAAGGCGACGAUCCCUAGCUGGUCUGAGAGGAUGACCAGCCACACUGGAACUGAGACACGGUCCAGACUCCUACGGGAGGCAGCAGUGGGGAAUAUUGCACAAUGGGCGCAAGCCUGAUGCAGCCAUGCCGCGUGUAUGAAGAAGGCCUUCGGGUUGUAAAGUACUUUCAGCGGGGAGGAAGGGAGUAAAGUUAAUACCUUUGCUCAUUGACGUUACCCGCAGAAGAAGCACCGGCUAACUCCGUGCCAGCAGCCGCGGUAAUACGUAGGUCCCGAGCGUUGUCCGGAUUUAUUGGGCGUAAAGCGAGCGCAGGCGGUUUAAUAAGUCUGAAGUUAAAGGCAGUGGCUUAACCAUUGUUCGCUUUGGAAACUGUUAGACUUGAGUGCAGAAGGGGAGAGUGGAAUUCCAUGUGUAGCGGUGAAAUGCGUAGAUAUAUGGAGGAACACCGGUGGCGAAAGCGGCUCUCUGGUCUGUAACUGACGCUGAGGCUCGAAAGCGUGGGGAGCAAACAGGAUUAGAUACCCUGGUAGUCCACGCCGUAAACGAUGAGUGCUAGGUGUUAGGCCCUUUCCGGGGCUUAGUGCCGCAGCUAACGCAUUAAGCACUCCGCCUGGGGAGUACGACCGCAAGGUUGAAACUCAAAGGAAUUGACGGGGGCCCGCACAGGCGGUGGAGCAUGUGGUUUAAUUCGAAGCAACGCGAAGAACCUUACCAGGUCUUGACAUCCCGAUGCUAUUCCUAGAGAUAGGAAGUUUCUUCGGAACAUCGGUGACAGGUGGUGCAUGGUUGUCGUCAGCUCGUGUCGUGAGAUGUUGGGUUAAGUCCCGCAACGAGCGCAACCCCUAUUGUUAGUUGCCAUCAUUAAGUUGGGCACUCUAGCGAGACUGCCGGUAAUAAACCGGAGGAAGGUGGGGAUGACGUCAAAUCAUCAUGCCCCUUAUGACCUGGGCUACACACGUGCUACAAUGGUUGGUACAACGAGUCGCGAGUCGGUGACGGCAAGCAAAUCUCUUAAAGCCAAUCUCAGUUCGGAUUGUAGGCUGCAACUCGCCUACAUGAAGUCGGAAUCGCUAGUAAUCGCGGAUCAGCACGCCGCGGUGAAUACGUUCCCGGGCCUUGCACACACCGCCCGUCA